CAGCCCAGUUCUGUCCUUGGCGGAAUUAUCCUGGCAUCCCUGGGCCUGGCUCAGGGCCACACAGAGGACGGGGAGUUGUGUAAAUGUUUGUGGUGUUAAAUUGGACUUGUCUCAAGCUCCUGAAGCUCAGCAUCUGUGGAGCCCCAGGGAAGGGGCCCGCGAAGGAGAUGAAAGCAGGCAGAAGCCCGUUUCAAAGCUGGCCUUUUUGGUGCGGAUAAAAGGAGGGAGGCAGUUGGAAAGCCAGCCAGGGAGGGGAGAGGACUGAGAAGCGAUGCAGCCAUGGACAGGGGCGCUGACCACUGCUCCCACACCCCCGACAGCCUGCCAAAGCUGCCCCUCCUCUGGGCCUCCAUUUCCAGACACAUGGAGGUGACAGCACCCGCCCUGGAGAGGACUGAGGCCAAGGGCCGACCUGGAAGGCUGCACAAGCUGGGGACUCGACACUUCCAAGAAGACCGUUCAGACGGACCACGACGGCAUGCUCCUGCCUGGCACUGUGCAACACAGAAAUCCUUAAAUUCA
This is a long non-coding RNA of Cavia porcellus (domestic guinea pig), 522 nucleotides long. RefSeq lists it as uncharacterized. The transcript has 2 exons. Lineage: Eukaryota; Metazoa; Chordata; Mammalia; Rodentia; Caviidae. The record is from RefSeq and is a predicted model, not a curated record.